UACGUAGGGUGCGAGCGUUGUCCGGAAUUACUGGGCGUAAAGGGCUCGUAGGUGGCCAACUAAGUCGGACGUGAAAUCCCUCAGCUUAACUGGGGAACUGCGUCCGAUACUGGAUGGCUCGAGUUUGGGAGAGGGAUGCGGAAUUCCUGGUGUAGCGGUGAAAUGCGCAGAUAUCAGGAGGAACACCGGUGGCGAAGGCGGGUCUCUGGGCAAUAACUGACGCUGAGGAGCGAAAGCGUGGGGAGCGAACAGG
Molecule: ribosomal RNA, 253 nt
Filed under: uncultured bacterium
Lineage: Bacteria
Description: partial 16S ribosomal RNA
Rfam family: Bacterial small subunit ribosomal RNA
Source: RNAcentral